GUCAGCAGCCAUAUCACCCUGCAACUGACAUCUGGCAACCCACUGAAGCUAAGCAGGUGUGAGCCUGGUCAGUACCUGAAUGGGAGACCUCCUGGGAAACACUAAGGUUGCUGCUGGAA
Lepisosteus oculatus (spotted gar) is the source of this 119-nucleotide ribosomal RNA. Lineage: Eukaryota; Metazoa; Chordata; Actinopteri; Semionotiformes; Lepisosteidae. The record is from Rfam.